GUAGCUGGUCUGAGAGGAUGACCAGCCACACUGGAACUGAGACACGGUCCAGACUCCUACGGGAGGCAGCAGUGGGGAAUAUUGGACAAUGGGGGAAACCCUGAUCCAGCAAUGCCGCGUGUGUGAAGAAGGCCUGAGGGUUGUAAAGCACUUUCAGUGGGGAGGAGGAUUGMUAGGUUAAGAGCCAGGUAAUUGGACGUUACCCACAGAAGAAGCACCGGCUAACUCCGUGCCAGCAGCCGCGGUAAUACGGAGGGUGCAAGCGUUAAUCGGAAUUACUGGGCGUAAAGGGUGCGUAGGUGGUUAGGUAAGUUAUCUGUGAAAGCCCCGGGCUCAACCUGGGAAGGUCAGAUAAGACUGCUUGACUCGAGUAURG
RNAcentral lists this ribosomal RNA (376 nucleotides) under uncultured Legionella sp. RNAcentral's name for it is "bacterial SSU rRNA". It matches the Rfam family "Bacterial small subunit ribosomal RNA", at positions 283 to 651 of the family's 1533-position model. The record is from RNAcentral. Lineage: Bacteria; Pseudomonadati; Pseudomonadota; Gammaproteobacteria; Legionellales; Legionellaceae.